RNA transcript from Solanum dulcamara, 3041 nucleotides. RefSeq lists it as uncharacterized. The record is from RefSeq and is a predicted model, not a curated record. NCBI's taxonomy places the organism in Eukaryota, Viridiplantae, Streptophyta, Magnoliopsida, Solanales, Solanaceae. The transcript is spliced from 3 exons.
AUGGCUGUCCGGCGGUUCUGGAAAAUGGUGGCUUGGAACAGGGACGACGACGGUUCCCCGAGGUUGCCUCGCCGAUCUCUUCUUUGCCGGAGACGGCGGCUAGAGAGGAUACGAGAGAGACGAAGAGAUGGAGAGGCAGAGACGAGGGGAGAAGAGCAUCAGAAUCAAUUCUAUGGGAGAAGUACAGCACAUGAUCCUGCUCGAUUUGGGUCAUCUGGUUCACCUCCGUCUGAUGGGUUCAGGGAGAAUGGUCUUUUGAGUCCAGAGCAGGUUUAUUUCAAACCCUAUCGAAGUCUUGCAAACGAGCCUUUUCGGGUUCUGUAUCGCCCAAAACGCGAUUACCUUUAACAUCAUUGCCCGUUAAUACUGUUAAGCGGCCUUACUCUGAAGAUCAAAGGAAAUCCAGAAAACCAUCCAGAAACAGCAUGAUUUCGAUACCAUUUAACCUUAAAGUGGAUGUUGGUUCUAGGAAUGAGAAUUCCUUGAAUGAUGAGUUUUCAUUUUCUGAACUAUGGGCAGGGCCAGCUUAUUCGAAUUCUCCUCCCCCUAGUUCUUUGCCCAUGCCCAAAUUUUCCCUUCGGACUAAAAGGAAUGCUUCUCUUGAAUUUCCUACUUCAGCAUCUGAUAUUGAUUUACGUCCCAUUGCCAAGUCUCCAACCAGGGAGCGCAGCCUUUCUCCGGGAGUUGUAUAUGACGGCACUGACUCGGUGAUACAAACUCUUCGUCUCAUGCUCAACCUUGAAAUUAAGGAUGGAUGAAUGUGUGGUGGGAGGUCUGGAUAGCAGCUAAAUAGGUGAUUAUGUAGUUUUCGUAUUGGGUAAUAGUAGAUAGUUCAUAUGGUGAAUAAAUCAGUUUUUAGUUCGAAAGUUAUUGUUUCAGUUAGUGUUUCUCGUGGUAGAUCAGUAGUGGAAUUUCAACACCUGUCAAGAGUGGUUGUUUUAAGGGAAAUUUUAUAUGAGCCAUGGCUGGUUGAUCAACUCUCUCCAGUAUAUUCAAAGUUCAUGCAUUUAUGUGCAGACAUGGUUAGACUAUGAGGGGUUCAACAAAUGGAGUAUGCUUGUACUAGUGCAUUGAUCAGUGGAAGAAGAAACUGGGUGUUGAUUUGAGAUGCUCCUAUUGCAGUAAUCAAUAGAGAUAACUUGGAGUUCUUUGUAGGGGUUGCGUAACUUGUUGUUCAACUAUCUAUAAUGCCCUGGAUAUCAAUUCAUUAUAACCAUCAAUUCUCAUUCUUGAUUCCAGUUGUCAUAGGAUUGUUCCUUCUUAUUGCCUUUUCAUGUCCCUUUAGAUAUUCUGUUUGUCAGAGAUAUUAUAUAUAUCUUAGACCCUACCAGAUUAGUUAGCAUCCCUUUAUACUUCUGUUUUAUUCAGUUACUAGACUCUUAGCCUUUUCAUCCAUUCUUGCAUCCUAACCUUCUCUAUCUCUUGGUAGAUUCAAAUUCAUGACUAGAUAAUAGGACAUUUGAUAUAUCUACAACAACAACAACCCAGUGAAAUCCCACAUCGUGGGGUCUGGGGAGGGUAGAGUGUACGCAGACCUGACUCCUACCAAUGUAGGACGGCUGUUUCCGAAAGACCCUCGGCUCAAUAAAAGCAUAGAAAAAGGUUAGACAAGAAUAUUAGAAUAAAUAAGUAGAUGACGAAAACGGUCCAAACAAUAUUAUAAUCAAAGCACAAAAACAGUAGAUAUUAUUAUUGGAUAAUACCAUAAAUAGCAUACAUCAGAGUACAAGAAAUCAUAGUGUGUUAAUACGCCUACGAAUAAGGGAGAAUAAAAUCAUUAUGUACUAGCCUUCUACCCUAAUGUGUGUCCUCCACACCCUCCUAUCUAGGGUCAUGUCCUCGGUAAGUCGUAAAUGCGCCAUGUCCUGUCUGAUCACCUCUCCCCAAUAUUUCUUCGGCCUACCCCUACCUCUUCUGAAACAAUCCAUGGCCAGCCUCUCACAUCUCCGCACUGGUGCAUCUGGGACUCUCCUCUUCACAUGUCCAAACCAUCUCAGUCGCGUUUCCCGCAUCUUGUCUUCCACCGAGGCCACUCCUACCUUUUCUCGAAUAGCCUCAUUUCUAAUCUUGUCACUCCUGGUAUGCCCACACAUCCAUCUCAACAUUCUCAUCUCGGCAACCUUCAUCCUUUGCACGUGGGAGACCUUAACUGGCCAACACUCCGCCCCAUACAACAUAGCUGGUCUAACGACCACUUUGUAGAACUUGCCCUUAAGUUGUGGUGGCACCUUCUUGUCACAUAACACACCGGAGGCGAGCCUCCAUUUCAUCCUUCCUGCCCCAAUACGGUGUGUGACAUCCUCGUCGAUCUCUCCGCUGUCUUGCAUGAUAGAACCAAGAUAUGGACAUUUGAUAUAUCUAAGUCUUGCUAUUCCUUGAAUGCUUGAAUGGGCUGGUCAUCAUCAUACCUUUAUAUGUAUUCUUGUCAGUUUUUCUUCUCUACUCUGAAUAGGAUAUAUCAUCUACUUCUUCCUCUUGAAGUUGUUUCACCAAUUUUCUGUUUUUUGGGAAUGAAAAUUGGGUAGGGGAAUUAAUAGUUACUUGUAUCCUUUUCUGUUCCUGGUCUUUGGUAUCUUCCCUUUUAAGUUUCUUCUUGCUAGUCCAAUUAUGCCGGUUACGUGGUUUAUUCCUUCUCAAAAAAAAAGUUCCAUCUUGCCUAUGAAGAUUCUUGAUCACUAGCUAUUGAUAAGGGCUUUUAGUUGGAGCUGUGGGAAGAAGAUUGUUGAGCGGUUGUUCUCCCUACUCUCGCCAUGGUAGCACUACUUGUUAUGUGAUUUCAGUGUCUUUAUAAGAUAGAUGUUGUCUGUCGGUCCUUCGAUCAAACUGGUAGUUACUACUGCAACAAUUAUCUAGUUAUUUCAUGUUUUAGGUUUGGAGUUUUACUUCUGUUGUUGAACUAGGUACACACUACACCACCUUGUUUUUAAGGUAGCAUUUUGAUUAUGAGUUUAAUUGUGUUUCUCUGCUUCUGUUGUUUGUCUCGAAGUCUAUGUUGUUUUUGGUAUCAUUUUUUAAAAUCAUUUACUGCUUCUUGUCUCGAA